AUACGGAGGGUGCAAGCGUUGCUCGGAAUCACUGGGCGUAAAGCGCGCGCAGGCGGUCUUUUAAGUUGGAUGUGAAAGCCUACGGCUCAACCGUAGAACUGCAUCCAAAACUAUUAGACUAGAGUGUGGGAGAGGAAGAUGGAAUUAGUUGUGUAGGGGUGAAAUCCGUAGAGAUAACUAGGAAUACCAAAAGCGAAGGCAAUCUUCUGGAACACUACUGACGCUGAGGCGCGAAAGCGUGGGGAGCAAACAGGAUUAGAAACCCCAGUAGUCC
RNAcentral lists this ribosomal RNA (274 nucleotides) under uncultured bacterium. RNAcentral's name for it is "partial 16S ribosomal RNA". It matches the Rfam family "Bacterial small subunit ribosomal RNA", at positions 523 to 796 of the family's 1533-position model. The record is from RNAcentral.